GACGAACGCUGGCGGCGUGCCUAAUACAUGCAAGUCGAACGCUUCUUUCCUCCCGAGUGCUUGCACUCAAUUGGAAAGAGGAGUGGCGGACGGGUGAGUAACACGUGGGUAACCUACCCAUCAGAGGGGGAUAACACUUGGAAACAGGUGCUAAUACCGCAUAACAGUUUAUGCCGCAUGGCAUAAGAGUGAAAGGCGCUUUCGGGUGUCGCUGAUGGAUGGACCCGCGGUGCAUUAGCUAGUUGGUGAGGUAACGGCUCACCAAGGCCACGAUGCAUAGCCGACCUGAGAGGGUGAUCGGCCACACUGGGACUGAGACACGGCCCAGACUCCUACGGGAGGCAGCAGUAGGGAAUCUUUGGCAAUGGACGAAAGUCUGACCGAGCAACGCCGCGUGAGUGAAGAAGGUUUUCGGAUCGUAAAAUUCUGUUGUUAGAGAAGAACAAGGACGUUAGUAACUGAACGUCCCCUGACGGUAUCUAACCAGAAAGCCACGGCUAACUACGUG
RNAcentral lists this ribosomal RNA (508 nucleotides) under uncultured bacterium. RNAcentral describes it as "partial 16S ribosomal RNA". It matches the Rfam family "Bacterial small subunit ribosomal RNA", at positions 28 to 507 of the family's 1533-position model. The record is from RNAcentral.